RNAcentral lists this long non-coding RNA (301 nucleotides) under Elaeis guineensis (African oil palm). RNAcentral describes it as "long non-coding RNA (EGUI_LNC055456)". The record is from RNAcentral. Lineage: Eukaryota; Viridiplantae; Streptophyta; Magnoliopsida; Arecales; Arecaceae.
UAAUUCUUUGUAUGAUAAAAUAAUCAAUAAUUCAAAAAUAAGUAAGAAGUAUGGGAUUUACUUACCUUUUCUAUCCUAGCCUUUCAAACUUCACUCAACGAAUUUAUCAAAUCUAUUUAACAUAUUAAAAAUAUAAUUAUUUUUUAUUUGAUAAAUUUAAUCAUAAGAAAAGAAGAUUAUAGAUUGGAUGGUAGGUCCAACGGGUUGUCCAGGCAUCAAGACAAUUUAGAGUCUUCUGGCUAAGGAUCAGAUUUAAAUGACUCAAUCAAGGAAUCAUGAAGUACGGAUUAGAUCAAGACCA